ACUUAGGCACGUAAAUCUCUCGU
RNAcentral lists this microRNA (23 nucleotides) under Gallus gallus (chicken). Its description in RNAcentral is "gga-miR-7473-3p". The record is from miRBase by way of RNAcentral. Lineage: Eukaryota; Metazoa; Chordata; Aves; Galliformes; Phasianidae.